AUUAUUUUGGCAGAUAAGUGCAUUAGGUUUAGAUUCUAAAUAUAUGUUAAUUACAUAAAUAAUA
RNAcentral lists this transfer RNA (64 nucleotides) under Curculionoidea sp. 27 KM-2017. RNAcentral's name for it is "tRNA-Leu". Lineage: Eukaryota; Metazoa; Arthropoda; Insecta; Coleoptera. The record is from RNAcentral.